This 780-nucleotide ribosomal RNA is filed under the name uncultured bacterium. Its description in RNAcentral is "bacterial SSU rRNA". It matches the Rfam family "Bacterial small subunit ribosomal RNA", at positions 8 to 796 of the family's 1533-position model. The record is from RNAcentral.
AGAGUUUGAUCAUGGCUCAGGAUGAACGCUAGCGGCAGGCCUAAUACAUGCAAGUCGAACGGAUGUAGCAAUACAUUAGUGGCGCACGGGUGCGUGACGCGUAUGCAACCUACCUUUCAGUGGGGGAUAGCCCGGGGAAACCCGGAUUAAUACCGCAUAAGAUAGUUGACUGGCAUCAGUUAAUUAUGAAACAUUUAUGGCUGAAAGAUGGGCAUGCGUUAGAUUAGCUAGUUGGUGAGGUAGCAGCUCACCAAGGCGAUGAUCUAUAGGGGUUCUGAGAGGAAGAUCCCCCACACUGGUACUGAGACAGGGACCAGACUCCUACGGGAGGCAGCAGUAGGGAAUAUUGGGCAAUGGAGGCAACUCUGACCCAGCCAUGCCGCGUGCAGGAAGAAGGCCUUCUGGGUUGUAAACUGCUUUUGGAAGUGAACAAAAAGACACUGCGGUGUAAAUUGAGUGUAGCUUCAGAAUAAGCACCGGCUAACUCCGUGCCAGCAGCCGCGGUAAUACGGAGGGUGCAAGCGUUGUCCGGAUUUAUUGGGUUUAAAGGGUGCGUAGGCGGCUACUUAAGUCAGGGGUGAAAGACGAUUGCUUAACAAUCGCAGUGCCUUUGAUACUGAGUAGCUUGAGUACAGAUGAGGCAGGCGGAAUGGGUGGUGUAGCGGUGAAAUGCAUAGAUACCAUCCAGAACACCGAUUGCGAAGGCAGCCUGCUAAACUGUAACUGACGCUGAGGCACGAAAGCGUGGGGAUCGAACAGGAUUAGAUACCCUUGUAGUCC